GAUUCUUCCCAAUUCUACCGCCAUCAUUCUGGUUCAAGCUACCUGAUGUCACCACCAUUCAAUGCAGAAAUGAUGGGCAAUACCAAAGCUCAACUUACUAAAGCAAUUAUUCUGGCUAACUUAUUCAGGUCCAGCUUUGACUUUACCUGGUUUUUUAUAGAAUGCUACAACUCCCUCUAGAAGCUUCUCUUGAUAAGGUAAAGCAUGCACAAAGCAAAUUUCGGUUGUAUCCUAGAAAUGAUAGCCAUAUUCAGGAUACUGGUUACACCUGAGGAAACAUCUCCAUGAAAGUUAAGCAUAUACAGGACCUCACUUUGUUACCCAGGCUAGAGUGCAAUGGUGUGACCACAGCUCACUGCAGCCUCAACCUCCUGGGCUCACUUAAGCAAUCCUCUCACUUCGGUCUCCUGAGUAGCUGGGCCUACAGGCAUGUACCACCACUCCCAGCAAGUUUUUAUUAUUUUUUGUGAAGACAGAGUCUUGCAGUAUUGCCCAAGCUGGACUUGAACUCCUGGCCUCAAGCAAUCCUCCCAUCUAGGCCUCCCGAAGUGCUAGGAUUACAGGCAUGAGCCACUGUGCCAAGCAACACUUGUACUUUUUAAGUGAAAAUGAUCCUGUAAAUAUAUAUAUGAAUAAAAUCUAGAAAG
Molecule: non-coding RNA, 647 nt
Filed under: Pongo abelii (Sumatran orangutan)
Lineage: Eukaryota; Metazoa; Chordata; Mammalia; Primates; Hominidae
Source: RNAcentral